AUGUUUUACAUGUUGUUUAAUAGUUUUUUUGCGCAUUACACGUUGAGGUUGACUUGUAAAAACAUGAAUUCAGGCGAUUAUGGUCCUGGUACUACCGAAGGUGUUGAAGUGCUGAAUGAAAGUCCUCUUUAUUGGAUCUUUAUAGUGAAACCUAUGAACGUUGGAGGAGAAACAAGAUCUUAA
This is a non-coding RNA of Vicia faba (fava bean), 183 nucleotides long. NCBI's taxonomy places the organism in Eukaryota, Viridiplantae, Streptophyta, Magnoliopsida, Fabales, Fabaceae. The record is from the annotation of a GenBank genome assembly.